CUUCCAGACAGCACGCCUCCGACCGACAUCAACGCUGUUUACAGCAUUUUGAGUCUGCCCCAGGCUGCCUCUGCACAAAACCCAACGAGACGGCAAGCUGGAAACACCAAGGACAAUUCUGCC
Limanda limanda (common dab) is the source of this 123-nucleotide long non-coding RNA. RefSeq lists it as uncharacterized. Lineage: Eukaryota; Metazoa; Chordata; Actinopteri; Pleuronectiformes; Pleuronectidae. The record is from RefSeq and is a predicted model, not a curated record. The transcript is spliced from 3 exons.